UUCGCAAUGCCCGAAAGGGUGACGAAGCGACGCCGCGUGCGGGAAGAAGGCCUUCGGGUUGUAAACCGCUGUCGGGAGUUAAGAAAUGCAAGGGUGUUAACAGCAUCCUUGCUUGACUAAGGCUCCGGAGGAAGCCACGGCUAACUCUGUGCCAGCAGCCGCGGUAAUACAGAGGCGGCAAGCGUUGUUCGGAAUUAUUGGGCGUAAAGAGCACGUAGGCGGCUGUGUAAGUCGGUUGUGAAAGCCUUCCGCUCAACGGGAGAACGGCAUCCGAUACUGCAUGGCUUGAGUGCGGGAGGGGAGAGUGGAACUUCUGGUGGAGCGGUGAAAUGCGUAGAUAUCAGAAGGAACGCCGGCGGCGAAAGCGACUCUCUGGCCCGUAACUGACGCUGAGUGUGCGAAAGCUAGGGGAGCAAACGGGAUUAGAUACCCCGGUAGUCCUAGCCGUAAACGAUGGGCACUAAGUAGAGGGGUUUU
This 477-nucleotide ribosomal RNA is filed under the name Candidatus Brocadia fulgida. Its description in RNAcentral is "bacterial SSU rRNA". It matches the Rfam family "Bacterial small subunit ribosomal RNA", at positions 365 to 832 of the family's 1533-position model. Lineage: Bacteria; Pseudomonadati; Planctomycetota; Candidatus Brocadiia; Candidatus Brocadiales; Candidatus Brocadiaceae. The record is from RNAcentral.